AGCGAACGCUGGCGGCAGGCUUAACACAUGCAAGUCGAGCGGGCCCUUCGGGGUCAGCGGCAGACGGGUGAGUAACGCGUGGGAACGUGCCCUUCGGUUCGGAAUAACUCAGGGAAACUUGAGCUAAUACCGGAUACGCCCUUAUGGGGAAUGGUUUACUGCCGAAGGAUCGGCCCGCGUCUGAUUAGCUAGUUGGUGAAGUUAUGGCUCACCAAGGCGACGAUCAGUAGCUGGUCUGAGAGGAUGAUCAGCCACACUGGGACUGAGACACGGCCCAGACUCCUACGGGAGGCAGCAGUGGGGAAUAUUGGACAAUGGGGGCAACCCUGAUCCAGCCAUGCCGCGUGAGUGAUGACGGCCUUAGGGUUGUAAAGCUCUUUUCUCCGGGACGAUAAUGACGGUACCGGAGGAAUAAGCCCCGGCUAACUUCGUG
This 433-nucleotide ribosomal RNA is filed under the name uncultured bacterium. RNAcentral's name for it is "partial 16S ribosomal RNA". It matches the Rfam family "Bacterial small subunit ribosomal RNA", at positions 29 to 507 of the family's 1533-position model. The record is from RNAcentral.